UACGUAGGGUGCGAGCGUUAAUCGGAAUUACUGGGCGUAAAGCAUGCGCAGGCGGCUUUGCAAGACAGAUGUGAAAUCCCCGGGCUCAACCUGGGAACUGCAUUUGUGACUGCAAGGCUAGAGUACGGCAGAGGGGGAUGGAAUUCCGCGUGUAGCAGUGAAAUGCGUAGAUAUGCGGAGGAACACCAAUGGCGAAGGCAAUCCCCUGGGCCUGUACUGACGCUCAUGCACGAAAGCGUGGGGAGCAAACAGG
RNAcentral lists this ribosomal RNA (253 nucleotides) under uncultured bacterium. Its description in RNAcentral is "partial 16S ribosomal RNA". It matches the Rfam family "Bacterial small subunit ribosomal RNA", at positions 524 to 776 of the family's 1533-position model. The record is from RNAcentral.